AACGAACGCUGGCGGCGUGCUUAACACAUGCAAGUCGAACGCAUCCUUCGGGGUGAGUGGCAGACGGGUGAGUAACGCGUGGGAACGUGCCCUUCAGUUCGGGAUAACCCAGGGAAACUUGGGCUAAUACCGGAUACGUGCGAGAGCAGAAAGAUUUAUCGCUGAAGGAUCGGCCCGCGUCUGAUUAGCUAGUUGGUGGGGUAAUGGCCCACCAAGGCGACGAUCAGUAGCUGGGCUGAGAGGAUGAUCAGCCACAUUGCUACUGAGAAACGGCGCAGACUCCGACGGGAGGCAGCGGUGGGGAAUAUUGGACAAUGGGCGCAAGCCUGAUCCAGCCGUGCCGCGUGAGUGAUGAAGGCCUUAGGGUUGUAAAGCUCUUUCGUCCGGGACGAUAAUGACGGUACCGGAAGAAGAAGCCCCGGCUAACUUCGUGCCAGCAGCCGCAGUAA
Molecule: ribosomal RNA, 449 nt
Filed under: uncultured bacterium
Lineage: Bacteria
Description: partial 16S ribosomal RNA
Rfam family: Bacterial small subunit ribosomal RNA
Source: RNAcentral